This 478-nucleotide ribosomal RNA is filed under the name uncultured bacterium. Its description in RNAcentral is "partial 16S ribosomal RNA". It matches the Rfam family "Bacterial small subunit ribosomal RNA", at positions 28 to 523 of the family's 1533-position model. The record is from RNAcentral.
GACGAACGCUGGCGGCGUGCUUAACACAUGCAAGUCGAACGGGAAGGCCCUUCGGGGUACACGAGUGGCCAACGGGGGAGCAACACGUGGGUGACCGGCCCUGCACUUCGGGAUAAGCCUGGGAAACCGGGUCUACUACCGGAUUGGAACACUGCUUGCAUGGGUGGUGGCGGAAAGUGAUUGCGGAGUCGGGUGGGCCCGCGGCCUAUCAGCGUGUUGGUGGGGUGAUGGCCGACAAAGGCGACGACGGGUAGGCGGCCUGAGGGGGUGACCGGCCACACUGGGACUGAGAUACGGCCCAGACUACUACGGGAGGCAGCAGUGGGGAAUAUUGCACAAUGGGCGCAAGCCUGAUGCAGCGACGCCGCGUGAGGGAUGACGGCCUUCGGGUUGUAAACCUCUUUCAGCUAUGACGAAGCGCAAGUGACGGUAGUAGCAGAAGAAGGACCGGCCAACUACGUGCCAGCCGCCGCGGUAA